ACACCCUCAACCUUUCUUGGUUUGAUUGACUGGGAAAGGCUUGGACUUUGGAGGUUUUUUGUUGCUGGUCUCGUUUUGAAGCCAGCUCCUCCUAAAUGAAUUAGUGGGGUCUGCUGUGCCAACCCUCGACGUGAUAAGUAUCCUUCUACGUCUUGGGGUUUUGCACUGUUGCCACUUCUAAUUGUCUUUGCAUAAAGACAACGUUCGAGUUGCUUGUAACUCGACCUCUUAGA
This 233-nucleotide unclassified non-coding RNA is filed under the name uncultured Russula. RNAcentral's name for it is "sequence contains ITS2". The record is from RNAcentral. Lineage: Eukaryota; Fungi; Basidiomycota; Agaricomycetes; Russulales; Russulaceae.